GCCAACCAGCUAGCUUGAUUAUUAAUAUAACUUAACGAUUUUCAUAACAAAACAUGACCUAACACCAUAAAUUAAACCAUUUUUUUACCUGAGUAUGGGAGACAGAAAAGGUUCCACCCGAAGCAAUAGAAAAAGUACCGCAAGGGAAAGCUGAAAGAGAAAUGAAAUAACCCAUAUAAGCGCCGAAAAACAAAGACUAAACCUUGUACCUUUUGCAUCAUGAUUUAGCCAGCACCCUCAAGCAAAGAGACCUUUAGUUUGGAACCCCGAAACCAAGUGAGCUACCCCGAGACAGCCUAUAUUAAUCUAGGGCUAACCCGUCUCUGUGGCAAAAGAGUGGGAAGAGCUCCGGGUAGAAGUGACAGACCUACCGAACUUGGUGAUAGCUGGUUGCCUGAGAAGUGGAUAGAAGUUCAGCCUCGCACACCCCAAACCAAUAAAUAUAUCAUUAAGAUACUAAGGGAAAUAUGCGAGAGUUAGUUGAAGGGGGUACAGCCCCUUUAACAAAGGAUACAACCUUCACAGGAGGAUAAAGAUCAUAGUACACAAAACAUACUGUUCUAGUGGGCCUAAAAGCAGCCACCUAAACAGAAAGCGUUAAAGCUCCGACAGAGAGAAGUUUAUUAUACCGAUAAGAAAUCUUAUUCCCCUAAGUAUAUCAGACCAACCCAUGCCCACAUGGAAGAGAUUAUGCUAAAAUGAGUAACAAGAAGACCUGCUCUUCUCCCAGCACACGUGUAAACCAGAUUGGACCAACCACUGGACCUUAACGAACCCAACCCAAGAGGGUAGUGUGAAUAAUAAAAACCUCAAGAAGACCUCACACCCAAAUAUCGUUAACCCCACACUGGCGUGCUAUCUAAAAGGAAAGACUAAAAGAAGGGGAAGGAACUCGGCAAACACAAGCCUCGCCUGUUUACCAAAAACAUCGCCUCCUGCAACUAUUAAGUAUAGGAGGUCCAGCCUGCCCAGUGACUACGGGUUCAACGGCCGCGGUAUCUUGACCGUGCAAAGGUAGCGCAAUCACUUGUCUCUUAAAUAGAGACCUGUAUGAAUGGCUAGACGAGGGCUUAACUGUCUCCCCCUUCCAGUCAGUGAAAUUGAUCUAUCCGUGCAGAAGCGGGUAUAAAUCUACAAGACGAGAAGACCCUUUGGAGCUUAAGGUACAAAACUCAACCACGUUAAACAACUCUAUAAAAAAUAAGAACUUAGUGGCCUGUGAGAUUUUACCUUCGGUUGGGGCGACCACGGAGGAAAAACGAGCCUCCGAGUGGACUGGGCCGAAUCCCUAGAUCCAAAAGAGACAUCUUUAGGCCACAGAAUAUCUGACCAAUAAUGAUCCGGCUCAAAUGCCGAUCAGCGAACCAAGUUACCCUAGGGAUAACAGCGCAAUCCUCUCCCAGAGCCCGUAUCGACGAGGGGGUUUACGACCUCGAUGUUGGAUCAGGACAUCCUAAUGGUGCAGCCGCUAUUAAGGGUUCGUUUGUUCAACGAUUAAAGUCCUACGUGAUCUGAGUUCAGACCGGAGUAAUCCAGGUCAGUUUCUAUCUGUAACGCUACUUUUCCUAGUACGAAAGGAUCGGAAAAGAGGGGCCCAUACUCAAAGCAUGCCCCGCCCCUAAUUCAUGAAAACAAAUAAAUUAAGUAAAGGGAGGGCCAAAGCCCCUACCGCCCUAAAUAAGGACAU
This 1687-nucleotide ribosomal RNA is filed under the name Couesius plumbeus (lake chub). Its description in RNAcentral is "16S ribosomal RNA". It matches the Rfam family "Bacterial large subunit ribosomal RNA". The record is from RNAcentral. Lineage: Eukaryota; Metazoa; Chordata; Actinopteri; Cypriniformes; Leuciscidae.